RNAcentral lists this ribosomal RNA (374 nucleotides) under uncultured organism. Its description in RNAcentral is "bacterial SSU rRNA". It matches the Rfam family "Bacterial small subunit ribosomal RNA", at positions 526 to 896 of the family's 1533-position model. The record is from RNAcentral.
CGGGGGGAGCAAGCGUUGUUCGGAUUUACUGGGCGUAAAGGGCGCGUAGGCGGCCACCGCAAGUCGAUUGUGAAAUCUCCGGGCUUAACUCGGAAAGGUCAACCGAUACUGCGGGGCUAGAGUGCAGAAGGGGCAACUGGAAUUCUCGGUGUAGCGGUGAAAUGCGUAGAUAUCGAGAGGAACACCUGCGGCGAAGGCGGGUUGCUGGGCUGACACUGACGCUGAGGCGCGAAAGCUAGGGGAGCGAACGGGAUUAGAUACCCCGGUAGUCCUAGCCUUAAACGAUGGAUGCUUGGUGUCUGGGGUUUUAUAGUCCCCGGGUGCCGUCGCUAACGCUUUAAGCAUCCCGCCUGGGGAGUACGGUCGCAAGACUG